UUAUAUUGCCGUUAAAAGGAAAGAUUGGUAUUUGCUUAAUAAACAAAUCACAUUUUAGCCUUUAGUUGUAUCUGAAUUUUGAUUUCUUCUGUCUUGUCCAGUAUCGAUGGAAAGCGGCGACGAGAACGCCAUGGCUGAGUAUCGUAACCAAGUACCUUUCGAUGUUAUCAACCCUCCACCAGGUAUAUGCGGCGGGAUCAGCCCCUUCCCAUAACUAACGAAGUUCGCGGUUAUCUCAUUCCUCUAUGCGACCUUGCCUUAGACAAGUACAACACUGAACAGGGUACCAAUUUUGUGUUUGUUGAUAUUAUCAAGUCAACCCAUCAAGGUGUUGCUGGUACUAAUUAUUUCAUCACCUUUCAAGCAAAAUAUCCAAACGGCCCUCUUGUAACUUUCCAGGCCUAUGUUUAUGUCAAUUUGCCCUGUUAUGGAGGACAGCCUGUGGUCGAGUCAUGUGCUAUCAAGCCUACAUAAGUAGCGCAUACACCUUGGUAAUAAUGUUGCAACAGGGCUAUGUAUGCUUACAUAUUCAACUUUGGUUAUACUUUUUUAUUUUUAUUUUGUAUUUGAUUAUGGUAUUUGGAAUGUGCUUCAGCCUUUUUUCUCAUUCAUAGCAAAUAUUAGAAACCAGCAUUGGGCCUGGCAAUACUAAGUUUCAAAAGAGAUUGGAGUUUGUUGAUAAAUCAUCAUCUCAUUCAUUUUUGUAGUCGUGUGUGUACUAACGCGAUAUUGGAUAUGAUACCGACACUGAUAUGUCAACUUAACAUAUUAACAUCAGUUUCAUGUCCGGCGCUGAAACGACAUACCUUUGUUCAGAGGUGUUGGUGUUAUUGAGGUUUAUAUCCUUUUCUUUAACAUCACUUAUUACCUCCUUCAUUUAGGAUGUGCGAUGUGUGUUUUGAUGCUAACUACACAAUAGUACCAAAACACUCUUAUGAUAUUUGAGGGCUUCUCAGUCGAAAUUCAGUUACUCCUUUCCUUGCUCACUGUAAUGGUGUUACAUCUAUGGUUUUAAAUUGCGGCCGGAGAUAUAGUUGCAGGUGUUGUGAUUAAUGCGGUUGUUGCGAUGCACUUUACAGCCGUUGCAAGUUGCGGGUGUUGUAAUUAUUGCGGUUGCUGCGAUGCACGUUACAGCCGUUGAAGCAUGAAUUUUGAUUGAAAAGACUUUGAAAUAUACCAUUAAAAAUCUCUUAAAGAUAAAUUUUUCAGAAGUUGAUUGAGCUUUGGGUUUUAAAUUUAGUUUUGACAAAAAUAUUUGAGGAAACAUGAUCGGGAAUUGUCUGAUGUGAUUACAAUAAGAAAAGAAGUCUGAUUUUAAAUCAUAUCGUAAUUAUGGUUCGAUGCGGUUGCAAAAACUACGACAUCAGCAAUACUACAGUUGCAGAGUAUGGUGUUUUAAAACAAUCAAAGUUGAUGUAUGGUAUUGGUAUGGGAUAUGGUGUUUUAAAAAAUUUGAGGUACCGGUAUGUCUAUAAAAAAUAAGAGUGUUUUUUUAUAUUUCAUUGGUGUUUUUUGAAUUCCUUCCUAUAUAUUUUUACCUUCUAAGACAUCUGAAACGAACUAUUUACUUGGAGGAAUAUAUUAUUUGCUAAGAUGUACAUCUGAAAUAUCAAUUGUAAGUAACUUAGGUAUUUGUAUCUGUUUGAUGCUAUUUUUAAAAUUUACCAUUUCAACGAAGAACCGUAUGCAAAUUUGCUUGUUAUCUCCCGCUAAAGAGGAGCUGGAAGAAUUUU
Molecule: long non-coding RNA, 1733 nt
Organism: Vicia villosa (hairy vetch)
Lineage: Eukaryota; Viridiplantae; Streptophyta; Magnoliopsida; Fabales; Fabaceae
Exons: 3
Source: RefSeq, a predicted model, not a curated record